Gordionus sp. m RMFG-2023 is the source of this 847-nucleotide long non-coding RNA. RefSeq lists it as uncharacterized. The record is from RefSeq and is a predicted model, not a curated record. Lineage: Eukaryota; Metazoa; Nematomorpha; Gordioida; Chordodea; Parachordodidae. The transcript has 4 exons.
UUGAGAAAAUCUUAUUUCUAUUCAAAUAAAAAAUAUUAAUUUGAUUUUACCUUUUUUAGUUUUUCAUUCAUUUAAUAUCUAGCUAUUAUGUGAUGCUCGCUAUUUAGAGAUGGAAAUUAACAUAUUUAAAUUCUAAAAUGUGGAUCAGUGAAAAAUGGCGGUUUUACCCGGUGGAAAAUUUGAAGUGAUAGAGUAUUAUUGGUUUGAAUCAGGCAAAUAUUUUUUAUGUUAAUCAUAUUUAUUUACAGAUUCUACUUACAUUAUAUCUCAAUAUUGAAUUAAAUAAAUUUAACCUAAAAUUAGCCAUCACCCACCUUUAAAGUAAUUAAAUUAUACUGUAGUUCUCGAGUAUAGGCUCUUUUUUUGCCCCACUCCUUUUUAAUAAGCCUAUAGAGGUAUAAGCAAUAUUUUUCGAAAUUUUGUGCCUACAAGUACGUGCGGCUUGCCAACAAACGUGUGGAGGGCUCCUCAUAUUUUUACUUUUUACCCAAAUUAAAUUGUUCUAAUUAGAUGGAAGUGAGGAAAACCUAGCGUAGCUCUGUUGAACCUUCAACGCUAGAGGGCAAAAGCUAUAUAUCACGCAUCACAGUUUGGAACCGAAAUUGAGAAUUUGAAACCCUUGGAACAGCUGUUCAAAUUUAGGAAAUUUGAAUCAGAGUUAGCAAAAUUUUUAGAAAUCCAAACUGGAACUUUUAUUAUAAUUAUUAAAAAAUAUUUAGAAACUGAAAUGGAAACAUUUAUAAAUUUAGAAACGGAAAUAUAAUAUUUUUAAGUCCAGAUUCCCAGAAAUAUCGCUUGAAUGUCGAGCUAGCAACGAUGAAAGGAAGGGCGUACAUUUUCUAUCAGG